CGGGGUGUGGCGCAGAUGGCUAGCGUGCUUGCAUGGGGUGCAAGAGGUCGUGAGUUCGAGUCUCACCACUCCGACAA
This 77-nucleotide transfer RNA is filed under the name Bacteroidales bacterium. Its description in RNAcentral is "tRNA-Pro". It matches the Rfam family "tRNA". Rfam says of the family: Transfer RNA (tRNA) molecules are approximately 80 nucleotides in length. Their secondary structure includes four short double-helical elements and three loops (D, anti-codon, and T loops). Further hydrogen bonds mediate the characteristic L-shaped molecular structure. tRNAs have two regions of fundamental functional importance: the anti-codon, which is responsible for specific mRNA codon recognition, and the 3' end, to which the tRNAs corresponding amino acid is attached (by aminoacyl-tRNA synthetases). tRNAs cope with the degeneracy of the genetic code in two manners: having more than one tRNA (with a specific anti-codon) for a particular amino acid; and 'wobble' base-pairing, i.e. permitting non-standard base-pairing at the 3rd anti-codon position. Lineage: Bacteria; Pseudomonadati; Bacteroidota; Bacteroidia; Bacteroidales. The record is from RNAcentral.